RNAcentral lists this non-coding RNA (13018 nucleotides) under Cordylochernes scorpioides. The record is from RNAcentral. Lineage: Eukaryota; Metazoa; Arthropoda; Arachnida; Pseudoscorpiones; Chernetidae.
UAAGCCCUCUGACCACCUCCAUCUAGGUUCCCAGUUCACGUCCUUAUCUGGGUCCUUCGCCCAUUCAAGCUCCUCAGGCGCAAUGCCCAAAUCGUUCUCAGUCCUGUCGACCCAGAUAAGCUGCCUCAGUUUCUCUUCCUCCAGCCUUAGAGAAACAGGAGUCAGAUCCGAAAUCACCAGUAAAGCCUCUGUACUAGUAGUACAGUACCCCCCAGUGAUCCUCAGAGUUGCUACUCUCUGCACUGACUCUAAAGUUGUUCCGACUUUCCUAUCGCGGUUCCUCUUCCACCACGCUCUUGAACCGUACAGAAGAAUCGGCUCAACGCAGCUGAGGUAGAGACUCCUGAAAAUCUCCCCUUCCCUGCCCCCUCUCAGAAGCGCUAGCCUGCAUAGUCUCGAUAGUGCAGACCUAGCCCUCAACCCUAUAUCCUUGGCGUGGUCCAUCCAGCUCAACUUAUUGUUCACCACUACACCGAGGAUUUUCAUGUUUGACCACCUGAAUCCUCUCACCCCCUAGCUGCAAGAUGGGAUUGUGGUCAUAUUCGACGCCAGUCCGUUUGGCUCGAACAUCUCGCGAUUUGAAACUCUGGGCCUUUGUUUUGCCCACGUUAAAUUUGAGCUUCACCAGUUCUGCCCAACCCUUUAACCUACCGAUGCUUUUAUUGGCUAGAGCCUCAGCUUUUCUUCGGGAUUUCUCACUUAUAAUCAGGUAGUUGUCAUCAGCAUAGGCUACCAUGCAGGCGCCUGCUGGAAGUUCCUUGCGGAGAAUAGUGUCAGCCACUACAUUCCACAGUAUGGGACCACAGCAGGAACCUUGAGGGCAGCCCUUUGACACUAUUCUGUGCAUGUCCACUGCACCUACCUCAAUUGAGACCCGCCUGUCUCGUAAGAAAUCCCUUAUUAACGUCAGUAGGUUAAAGGGACACCCUUUCUCAUCGAGGGCAUUCACAACCAUGUUCCAAUUUGGGUUGUCGAACGCGCCUGCGAUGUCGAAGGAGAUCUCAAUCACCCAGUUUCCCUUUGCGACUCCUUCCUCGAUCUUGCCCAGUAUCCCCUCCAAGCAAGUGGUCGUAGACAGUCCCUUCCUAAAGCCAUGUUGGGAACUGGAAAGGUGUCCGCCCGAUUCUAGCCACCUUGUCAGCCUUUGUGCCAGAAGACUGUCCAUUACCUUUCCCAGGCAUGAUAGGAGAGACACAGGCCUAUAGUCCUUUGCCGUAGCGCCCGACUUGCCACUUUUUUCGAGUAAAGCAAUCCUCGCUGCCUUCCAAGCCCUCGGGAACCUACCCAGUUCCAAGCAGCGAUUGUAUAACCUGGUGAGAAGUGACCCAUAUCUUCUCACCAGAGCCUUCACGAUGGUGUUGUCAAUGCCAUCGGGACCAAGGGAUUUUCUGUUCCCAAAUUUGAAGGCUGUCCUUUUGACCUCCCUCUCAGUGAAGAGUGGAUCCAUACGCCCAUUUCUUGGUAACACAUCCUCGCAUUCCAGGUGCCCCACCCCAAAGUUCACGUCCAGAAUAUGAGACAGCGUGUCCGAGAGGUCAUGUGCGCGCGAUCCAUCCUCCUUUCUUAACAACUUCAGGGCCUUAGGAUUCCGAAGUUUCUCCAUGGCCAACUUGUAUGGUAAACCAUACUUGUCGUCCUUCAGUGUCCUGCUAUACUGAGCUCUCCAAUGACCUCUGUGUGCUUUCCGUGUCCUCUUCUUGUACUUGGCCAGUUCCGCCCUGUACCGAGUCCACUUCCCCUCUCUUUCAUUUUCGCUACACUUCUGCGCUCUCCUCCUUAAAGCCCGCAUCCUUUUCCGCUCCACCAGGGCUGCUUUUUCCUCUUAAAGGAAAGAACUGUCCCAGUUCCAGGUCCAAGACCUCCGCUCGUAGUGAUGAUGUCAAGGUGAAGCCCGUCCACAGCUCUCUCCAGGCUAUCACCAUCCACCGCCAGUUCUAGGUCAUUUUCAAGUUCAGUGUUGAACUUUUUGAGAAACCUCUUGAUAUUCGCUCCCCUGACGCUGUACCUGGGAGUCCUCUCUACAGAGACCGGGUUUGCUGAACUCUUUGCUGUGAAGCUGAUUAGCUUGUGAUCACUAGCAUCAGUAAACUCGGCUUUCCAAGAGUCUCUAACGAGUCCACUUCCCCUAUUUAGGGUGAGGUCAAUCACGCUUUCACCGUUUCGCGUGCUGAACGUCGGAGUGCCCCAAUUGUUCCAUACCUCCAGACCCAGAGAUAUUAUUAGGUCCUCUAGAUUUCUGCCCCUGGUGCUGUCUUCUCUAUCUCUCAGGAAGAGUGAGCGGGCAUUAAAAUCGCCAGUUAUUAGCACGUUUUCGAUCCUAACAUUUCUAACCAUUUGACUCAGCAACUCAAGCACACCUUGCUCCGGUUCAAUGGGUGAAAUGUAUACAGAAAUGCAUAGCAGCUUGAGAUCCGCCGUCUCAACCAUAACUGCUAUUACGCCCCUCCAGGAGCCAUACUCAACGCAAAGAACGUCACCCCUGACCAGGAUACAAGCCUUCCUACACCCACCAUAGAAUGUCUUGUACCUUGUAUCUACCCACAUUUUGUUCCUUGAGAUGUAUGGCUCCUGCACCGACACCACAUGAAAUCCCUCCUCUUUCAUGUGUCGGUUCAACUCCUCGUUCCCCCUUCUUGCCCUAGCUGCGUUCAGCUGGGCAAAACUCCACCGAUAUGGUGCCAGUGUCACUAUGAUCGAUUCUGGAGAUGCCAGUUCCUUACUCCACAGGCUUUGGAUCUUAGCGUGUGAUCCAGCCUGUACUUUUUCUUAGACCUUUCCUUAGCCUCCUUACAGAGCCAGCACCCUACUGUCUCGAGGCAAGGUUCUACCCUCUCAUGCAACCCUUCGCACUUAUAGCACCGCCAUGGGUUCCUACACUGUGUCGCCAGGUGACCCAUGCCCUUACAGUGCUGACAGAAAGGUACCCUCAUAUUUACCUUUACUGUCACCCUUCUAAAGCCAAUGGCAAGUUUCUUUAGGCCUUUCAGCCUGUUGCCAAUCACACCAUUUGUCACCAAAACCCACGUCUGGGUUCCAGUACCUCUGGUGUAGACCUUAAUGAGCCGGUCCUUCUCCCCCCAGUUUGACGCCGUUCUGGUGUCUGAGGAAAUCUCGUAUUUCCUCACUGGAGUGUUUGGGGUCCGCUCCCAACAGAACCAGCUCAAAAGGCUGCUCCCUCAAGUCCCUACAUUCGGCGAUCACACUCUCCCUCAAUAGUGGGGUCGCUUUGACCUUGUCUUCCGCCUUUAGGAAGGUCAAGGCCACCCCCGUACCCUUUUUAAUCUGGGUCAUCUUGUAGUUUAGAUGCCCAGAUUCUGCGCCGAGCCUUUUAAUAACUUCCAUCAAGAGGUAACCUUCGGCAUCCUUUUUUUUCUCAACAACGAGCGUCCUCGUUGUAUCCCAUCUGUUGGAUCUCCCCUCUUUCGCCUUUGUUGAUCCUUUGGGAAGGGCCCUCACGCUCUCCUUAACCAUUCCAUCAAAGGUUCCCUUAUCACACACACACACACAAAAGCCUUUAAGACACGCUGGUCUUAUAGAGGAUUCUUCCCGAGAUUACAAGAGAGAUAGGCCUGUGAAAGUGGGGAAUAUACAGAAGAAGAAAAAGAAAGAUUAUGUAAGUAUGAUAUAUUGGUUCCCUCGUCUGGUAUCAGGGCAAUCAGCGCACUGUUGAGUUCCCUCACCUCGGCGAUGGAUCCCUCCAGGCUCCUGCACCUGUUCAGUAAGGUGGCGAAGCAGGUUUCCAGAAGUACCAUCUGCUUCACCGCCACCCUCUUGCCCUUUUUCAAGGUCUCGAAGGUGGAGGUAAGGAUCAGAGGCACUUCCUCUGCGUUGCUCGGGUUCAGCCCUUCUACCUGGGUAGACCCCGCCUCCUCCAGUGGCGUCUGGAGUCCUUUCAAGACAGCUUCCUCCACCGUCAGAGGAGUGUCACCCGGGUCGUCUGAAGCACGCGUCCACUCGCGUACGUUCUUCAAGGGUCUUAGCUCCUUAGAGGGCCCUUGGGUAUCGUUUUCAUGGGCUGUAGUGUUAUUCACAUUAUUAAUAAGAGGGGUGCAUGGGAAGUUAUUAGACCCUCGGGCUGGCCCGUCAGCUCCGAUAAGAUCGUUCACUCCACGGCAAGAGGGGUCUUCCUCAGGUGUUACCUGAGCCUCAUUUACUGAUUUAUUUUGUGCUGACAUUAUUAGGGGUGUAACCUGUGAGAUAAUGACACCAGCCGCCACCUGUUACCAAGGCUGAACUGGGCAUAUCCGUCUUUCCAGACUUGUCAGACUAGCUAUCAGCAUUGGCCACGCUUUUGUUAGAAACGUGCUCAGGACGCACCACGGGAAGGUGCUGAUCAGCAUAUGUUGGUAGCCGUCAAGCCUCCCUACUUUGCGCAAUCUGCAACUGGGCGUCACCCCUGUCACAGACUCCUAUUAGCAUCUCUAACUCUUCUACUAAGAUCCACAUUGAUCUGUCGUGAUCAGUUAGCUCCAGCCACCCUCUUUCAGGCUGCUGGGUACAGACCGCUACUACCCGCGAGUCGGGAGCCGAGGACUGCGGAUGCCAGACUCAUAGUCCUAGCCACUCUCCGUGCAGUCAGAACUAAGGCCCCGGGCCCACCUCCCGGGGACAGUGUAGAUCUGGCAGUCUUGCACCAGGGCUCGUAGGUGGGGUCUGAGGCGCCGGAGGAGAACAGCUGCCAGGACCCUGUAGUCAGCCGAGGGCAACGAGAUAGGCCUGUAGCCAUCGAGGCCGCAAUCGCUGCGGGCCUUGGGGAUCAGGCAGAUGGAACUGUGCCGCGUGUUAGUGCUUCCUUAUUGCAUGGCGUCCGUCCUGUCAAUCUGUUGCAGUCCAAUUCCUCUAUCAGCAGGCCUUCGAGUGAUCUGACUACUGAGGGCAACAUAAGCUUGGCCGUACAUAUAGAGCUUCUACCCCAAGUAAACUACUGCGUGGUCAACAGUGCUUCCUUGUGUACUGUUGGUGCCCAAGAACAAGACAGUUGGCGACAUUCUUUGUUUCACGGUUCCAUUACUAUGGUGGUGUGCCUUUUGAAGGGAUGCAUUUUUUUCCAAAUUCAUAGUGGUAGAAGGAGAAUUUUCCUCUUGGAUUGUAGCUGCUCCUAGAACAGUUACAGGAAUUGCUACGACAAAAAAAAAAAUUGUAGAUAAAAUAACCAAAUACCUAAUAAUUUUAGAUGGACUGGUACAUGUUUUCACUGCACUUCAGACAAGUCUGCCCAUUCAAUCUCUUAGUUCACAUUUUAUAUAAUAUACAAUAUUAUAUUACAAUAUUGGCCUCUAAGUCAAUGCCAAAAUGAAUGCUCUAUGAAAGCAACAAAUGAAGGGCCGAAAACGCUCAUGAAGACAAUAGAAGACAACAUAUUUAAAGGAGCAUCUCCAACGGAAAACAUCAGUUCCUAAUGUUAGGAAGAUAUCUUCAUAAAGGUUCAAGAGAAUGCUCUAUAAAGACAACAAAUUGAAAGUUGUUGCGCGACCUGCACCCCCUUGAGGCACCCCUGGAGCAGAUGGCCACCCAGACCUUACGGUCCACAAGCCGGCAUGCGAAGCAUGCCCUUAGCUGCUAUCUUGUUCCACUCAUAAGCCAAGUAACGGCAUCCAAGCUGGUGCUUGAAUAUUGUACCUGGAAAAACCACCUCCCAGAUGACGAGUCUGGAAGAAUUUAUAUACCGGUGACCUUUAGUCACAGCAAAACAGUAAACUGUCUACUGCGUCCAGCUGGGACCACGGGAAGGCGGCCACCUGUUGACCCUGUUCAUUCGCAGCUGAGAAAGAGCUCAGCUGCCACAUCGUGAGCUUUCUCGAGAUGCUUGCUGUGAUUUCUCAGCAGCUCGCUCUCGCCCCUCGCCCUCCUUCUCUCUUCCUGCACGCCUACCACCCUUGAGCAAUCCAAGACGUAGUGGCCUGCGUCUACAUCCCUCUCUCCACAGACGCAAUCAGGAUUGCUCUUUAUCUUGAAUCUGUGGAGACUCCUGGGGAAGGGCCCAUGUCCCGAAACUACCCUAAUUAGUACCUUACAUAGGUACUUGGGUAUUGUUACCCAAUUUGAUACCUCCCUCCCCUUGUCGCUGCUCUUCCAUCUGUCCAACCAUAGGUCCUGGACGUGCCCCCUGAUCCUCCUAUAAACUUCCUUUUUGGUCACAGGAGUCCUCACAGAUCUACCUCUAAAGCACCCUGCUUUAGCGAGCCUGUCUGCAAAUUCAUUACCUUCGAUGAGGCUGUGACCCCUAACCCAAUGGAGAUCUGGAGCCCGCGAUAUCAUCUCCAGCUCCUGGAUUAUUUGAUGCGCGAGUUGCCCCUUCUCCAUAUUGAUGGCGACCAGGGCCGACAUGCAAUCUGAAUAGAGGCGGUCAGGGCUCAAGUUCUUCUCGGCACACAUUCUGAGGGCUUCCCUGAUCGCAACCAGCUCGGCUGAAUAGACCAGUUCGUCCACUCUGAGUGUUACGCUUUCUUGGAAGAUCAGCUCCCCAUUGGUGAAGAUCACAACCCCAGCUCCAGUAUUGGUUCCAGACUUGCUCCCAUCAGUGAAGACCUCCGUACCAAUCCCUGUUGGCACUCCAGGACUCCCAAUUCCACUUUGGCAGCCACUGCGGAGGCUUCCUUGGGUCCCUCUUCCAUUCCAAGGUACCCGCUUCAAGGCCCAGGGCGUCUUCCCUAUCUUCCCAAAUUUUCUGUCUGAUGGCCUCCUCCUCUAGCUUCAAACCCAGGGGAAUAAGCCCAGCGAGGACCAACAAGGCCUCCGUGCUGGUAGUGCGAUAUCCCCCUGUGAUUCUGAGUGCCGCUGUCCUCUGCACUCUCUCUAGAGUUGUUGCCACCUUCUGAUCUUUAUUUCGGCGCCACCAGGCCCUAGAGGCAUAUAAUAGGAUUGGCUCGACACAGGAAAGGUAGAGGUUCCUAAAGAUAGUACCCUCCUUGCCCCCCCCCUGUUGAGAGCUAACCGUGACAGCCUGCACAAUGCCUGUCUGCCUCUCGCCACCAUCUCCGCGUGGUAUUGCCAUCCCAACUUAUCAUCAAUAACCAACCCCAGGAUGGUCAUCCUAUUUACUACCGAUACCCUCCGUCCUUCCAUCCGGAUAGCCGGCUUAUGUUCCCAUCUGAUCCCUUUUCUUUUGGUUCUUAUGUCCCUAGACUUAAAGCUGAGGGCUUUAGUUUCAGUGACAUUGAACCUAAGGCCAGAGUCGUGGGCCCAGUUCGCGAGGAUUUGGAGAGAGUUUUCCACACACUUCUCAACCUUCGCUCUCAAAGCAGCCUCAAUGAUGAGGAACUGGUCGUCGGCAUAGAGAACCAGCCUGACUCCCUCAGGUAGCUCCUCCUGGAAAACAGUGUUUACCAGGAUGUUCCACAGAACAGGUCCACAGCAGGAGCCCUGGGGGCAACCCCUGGCACAUUUUCUUACCAACUUCAGUCCAUCAAAACUGAGGCUAACCCGUCUAUCCCUCAGGAAGUCACGAACCAAGCUACACAAAUUAUUCAGAAAACCCAUAUCCAUCAAAUUUCUCAUCAGCUUGUUCCAGUUCAUGGAAUUGAAAGCACCAUCAAUGUCCAGGGCCACGAGAAGAACCCAAGCACCCUUAUUUAGCCCUAUCUCAACCCCCUCUAAUACUUCGUUCAGAGCUGUGGUUGUCGACUUGCCUUCCCUAAAACCAUGUUGGGAAGAGGAAAGGAGCUCAUUACUCUCUAGCCAGUGCUUCAGACGCUGAGCUAGUUGGCUAUCCAGGACCUUACCUAGACACGCUAGUAACAAAAGCGGACGAUAAUCAAUAGGGGAAUUACCCUUUCUACCAGACUUUUCCAGAAGCACUACUCGGGCAACCUUCCAUACCUUAGGAAAAGUACGUGUCCAGGCACCUAUUGAAUAACCUGGCAAGAAGCGAUGGGUGCAUCCUAACCAGGGCUUUCACGAUCGUGUUAUCGAUUCCGUCCGACUCAGGAGAUUUCCUGUUCCCCCGAACUUGAAAGCCGUCCGUUUAACCUCCAUCUCAGAAAAGGGCGGAUCCACCAAACCACAGUUGGUCAGCGAAAUCUCAUCCUCUGGCACUUCGUUUCCAAAAUGCCGAUCCAAGAUGAGGUCCAGGGUCUCCUUAAGGUCCCGGGUUUUGAACCCAUCUUCAUCUUCAAGCAGCCUCAAGUUAGCGGAGCUCCUUAUCUUACCAGAAACAACCCUGUAAGGGAGAACGUAUGGAUUUAUUUCCAGUACGGUGUUGCACUGCUCCCUCCAGUGUCUCCUCUUCGCCCUCUUGGUGCGUCUUUUAUAUCACGCCAAGAUUUUCCUGUAGGCUAUUCCCCUCCUGAUCCUUUCUUCGCCUAUGCUGUUCUGGAAUAGUUUCCUCAUGGCCCUGACUCUUUCUCUCGAUCUCUAACUCCUCUGUCCACCAAGGCUGUUUAAGCCUUUUAAAUGUGGUAACUUUUCCAGGCCCCAGCGCUCGACACGUGUUGAUUAUAUCCUGGUGAAGCUCAUUGACCAUGCUAUCAAUAGCAAUUCCGUCAACAGCUCCAGUCAGGCUACCCUCAAGCGUGCAAACAAACCGGCGUCUGAAUCUUUCAAGGUUAGGCCCCCUGAUACAGAGGAGCUCUCUCCACUGAUGGCGGUUCCACAUCACAACUGGCUUCAAACCUGAUGAGUUUGUAGUCGCUUACGUCCGUGGGGUCCGUUUCCCACCUCAAACGCCGCAUCCUGCUUGUUCUUGCCAGGAAGAAGUCUAUUAUGCUUUCACCGUUUACCGUGGCAAACGUUGAUUCACCAUAGACGUUCCAAACUUCCAGACCCUGACCGACAACUAAAUCGACCAGAGACCUUCCUUUGCGAUUUUCCUCCCUGUCCCCAAACAGCUGGGUGCGCGCAUUAAAAUCCCCGCCAAUCACAAUCUUGUGCCCUUCCUUCUGGACCAAAAGGUAAUUUAGGAAGUCCAGCCUACCGAGAUCGUUGUCCUGAGGUGGUAUGUACACAGAGAGGCAGACCAAUUUUAGAUCCGCCGCCUCGAUCUGUACAGCCGCUGCCCCCUCCCAGGACCCACAUCCCAGACAAGGAAGGUCUCCCCGGACCAGUAAGGCAGCCUUUUUGCACUCACUAGAGAAGAAACUAUAUCGAGUAUAUAGACCCAUCCUCCCAUCAUCCUCCAGGUACAUCUCCUGCACCUUGAUAACGUGAGGGUGAUCACUUUUAAUGAUCCGGUCUAGCUCCUCGGAGCUCCCCCUCGAAUGGGCGCAAUUUAGCUGCACAAACCUCCAUACCUCCUUAUUUGGCCCCUCUACCAUUUCCUCCCAUUCACAUACCAGGCCUUUACCGAGCACUGCGUACUCCGGGGGCGAUGAUCAGUCAUACUUCCUGCCGUACCUCUUAUUGGCCUCUAAGCAGAGCCAACAUCCCGGCCUCAUGUCACAACCCUGCUCUGGGGAGUGUACGCCCUCGCACCUCCCACACCUCUUAGGGUGUUUGCAGGUUCUUGCAAUAUGACCGGCCCUGAGGCACCUGAAGCAGGUCGACACCGCGUCGUUCACCCUGAUAGGUACCAUCCUUGCACCUAUUUUCAACCUCUUCUUGCCCAAGAGGAAUUUCAUGGUGCCUCCUUUAAGCCAGAAAUGACCCAAUUCGUGGCGUAGGGCCUCCUUGUUCUCUUUUGAUACAAUCUCAUAUAUCCUUCCAAGAAGUCCCCACACCCCGAAUUUUGGAGCACCACCAUUUCUCUUAGCAUCCCCUCUUUAAUGUCAGAGUUGACACCUAAGAGGAUCAGCUCCCUCCUGGCCCUCUUGAGGCCUCCAAGCCUCAGAGCAGGCACCCUCUCUAUAGCCUCCAUGGCCAGUUUCCUGUCCUCGGGGUUCUUCAAAAUGAGGGCCACCGCACCCCCACCCCGAAUUAUUUUGAGGUCAUAGCGGUUCCCAGGAAUGCUACCAGCGGUGCUUUUCAGUACCGCGAGCAUUAACCCAGACCCUGCUCCCUCAUUCCACUCAACUACCAGGGUCAGAUCCUCGUUCCAUCUUGGAGGUUCUGGCCUGGUACUCCUAGCCGCCUUGGGGGGAACCUUGUUUUCCCUGGUCCCUGUCUUCUUUGGGGGUCCCUACUUGGUGGACCUGGCUGCCUUGGGGGGCCCCUUUUCCUCUUCAGUCCUGGACUUCUUUGGAGGUUCCGGCUUGGUGGGCUUGUCUGCCUUGGGCGGUUCCUUGUCCUUCUCAGCUCUGGUCUUUCUUGGAGGUUCCGGCUUGUUUGUUUUCGCCGCCUUAGGGGGGUCCUUUACUUCAUCAGCCCUGAUCUUCGGGGGAGGAGGCUCUUUCUUCUCCUCUGUGGGCUUCGCUCCUGGUGGGUCCUCUUUCUCAUUUGCCGACUCUUCUCUUCUUCCAUCCUCCUCCUUUCUCGUCGGCUUCCUGUCCCUCUUCUUCCUCUUCUUUUCCCUUUUAUCUUUUUCUGCCAUCUCACUGUUCUCAGUUUGAACAGGCUGUCUUGGGGGAGAUGGCAGAGCGGCCUCUUUGGUCCUAGUUGGUGUUUUGACCAGGACCCCCUCUACUUCAGGGCAGUAAAUCGAGGUCGUUGCCCUUGUGGGCUCUUCCGUCUUCUCGUGGUGGGCGGGCGACUCUCGCCUAGGGAGGACUGGGGAAGCGUCAUGGGGAGGACAUACCUCAACCUCAGCUAUUUUUAGCGACUCUGCAAGAGCCGCUGCCACUCCUCUCUCUAUGCCGUACUGCAGGGUGGUUGGACUGAGGAAUUUCUCCUCAAGCUUCCGCUUUUCCACCCGCAGGAGUUCGAGCUCUUCAAUGGCUGCCCUAUGCUUAUUGAGGAGCUUAUCGAAGCAUUGCUCGAGGAUGUUCGGGUGAACGUUCCCAACUUUCCUCCCUCGCCGUAUGGUGGCUAGGGAGUCGUGGAAAGCCUCCGUAAGCUCCGAACUCUUCUUCUGGGGUGUCAACGCCUGGUUUAGGAAGUCGUUAAGGUCGUUGAGGUACCCUGGCUUGGUGAAGUCUUUCCCAAACCCUGACUCCUCGACUGUUGGGCUGAUUCUCGCCUCAGAAGAAGGAUCAAUCAGCAUAAAAGGAUCCAACGGGACCUCCAUGUUGAUGAUAUUGGAGGGCCCUUGGUCCCGGGUAUCUGGGGCAUCAGAUCCCUGGGGGCCUUUCGGACCUCAGUCCUAGCAGGGCGUGCGUGCUGACCCAGAGAGGCGAUCUCAGUAUGGGUGUCGGCCGUUAGCUCGACUUCAUAGGGGGUGUUGGCCGUUAGCCCAACUUCAUUUGGUGUACCGGCCGUUAGCUCGGCUUCGCUAGUCAUCUUUCUUGGGCUUACUUUGUUGUAUUUCAUGAAAGAUGGCGUUCCAGUUCAAUAAUGUCAUGGUUACCACCGGUCCCCAAGGUAGCCAUCACAUAGCUGUCUUUCCAGUCUGUCUGACAAGCUGUCAAGUUUAGCCGUACUCUGGUUAAGAGACGCCCAGGGCGCACCACGUGGAGGUGUUGAUCGGCACAUGUAGGUAGCCAUCAGGCCUCCCUACUUUGCGCAGUCUGCAACUGGCGUCGAUGAUGUCAGCCCGGGAAGCCCUGAUCUGCUGGACCAUUGUUGUUCUUGCCGCAAGUGGUCGUCUUCGCGGGGUUGCGCCGGUCCUUCCAGAGGCGCUGAUACCGCUGGAGCGCUGUUCAACGGCGCGGCCUGGCGACUCCCUACAUCUUCGUUUGGAUCGCACCACGGUGAAGCCUUCUUCACCAGAUUCCGAGGCCUCCAUUCGUUCGGCCCAGUUCGCGCAGCGCCCACAGUGCCGCUUGUUGAAGGCGUGGCAUCAGCGGCGCAAGCUGCGGCAAAAUUUGCAUGCUGUUUGUCUGCGGGUAAAUUUGCAUAGGUGCAGUUUGAAUUUUUCAUUCUUGAUUCUUCAACUUGAUGAUUUUUUGCGGAUAUCUCCGCAACAGCUUUGUUAUCAGAGCCGAGCCUUCCAGUCUCAUGUACAGUUGUCACAGUCGGGGCAUCUACAUGGCAGUCACAGACAAUGCGUUGUCGACGGCGCGAUACGCAUAACGCGCACGAAAAGUUAGAAAUUUUAUGCAUAGAAGGCAGUACACCAUAACUAACAACAAAGCAAGGAUAACAGUUAGGAUAAGAAGUUGUGUUUUCAAUCCAGCGAUGUCAAGUUGGCCGCCAGGGUGAGAUUCCAACCAUUGCAAAAUCUCCGACAGGCAGUCUGUACCUGAGCACGUAGGAUGAGAGCUGAAAACCAUUAAGGCAGUAAGAUUAUAGCUUAAGUACCUAGUAGUGGGAAUAUGACAUCCGCUACUUAAAAUCGAUGUACAGCUCGAUGUGGGCUUUCGGCCAAUAUAAAAUUCGUUGUCUUCCGCGACAUUCCAAUGCUCGCCAGAGGCGAAAACGGCGGAGCUAAAAAUAGCGUGGCCGCUCGCCUCAUGUAUGUAUGUAUAUGUAUGUAUGUAUAUGUGUAGCAUACAAUCUUCGUAAUAAUAAUUCUUCGAGAAAGCAAAGAAUUUGCUCGACAAGUAGCUCUCGUUUGUGUUUAUCUCGUGGCCAAAGUUUGAUAUGGCAUCCGACACUUUCUUCUUUAAGAAUUCAGUAUACUCCUCAAAAGUGUCAAAUCCUACAGAUUUGGGAUCAUCCUUUAUGUAUUGGGGAAUCCCAAUAAUGGCUCUCAGGUCGUCGCCUUUAACUAGUAUCCUAACUAUAACAGGCAACCCUCUAAAUGCCGCUUGAAUCUGCCCAUAGUACACCUCCAUCCAAUCGAGUUGGAGAUGGCCCUCUACUCCCCCGUCCUGGCCAUCCCAUUGGAUGAAGAUGUCUUGGUCAGCUAUAUAAAGAGGGUUGUCUGAAAAGGGUACUGGGAUUUUGAAAACGCCUCGGUCCCCAUCACUGCGUCGUGUAUUUGCCGGAGGACAGGCUCACAAACAGCUACUCUGAAGAGAUUGUAUGUAUAUGUGUAUGUAUGUAUAUGUGUAUGUAUGUAUGUAUGUAUGUAUGUAUGUAUGUAUGUAUGUUCAAUUUAAGUGUAGGAUUUUUACUAUUAGCUUUUUUACAAUUUUCUGUUUUAGUACAUGAUUUAGAAAUGUGGCCC